GAUGAACGCUGGCGGCGUGCCUAAUACAUGCAAGUCGAGCGAACAGACGAGGAGCUUGCUCCUCUGACGUUAGCGGCGGACGGGUGAGUAACACGGGGAUAACCUACCUAUAAGACUGGGAUAACUUCGUGAAACCGGAGCUAAUACCGGAUAAUAUAUUGAACCGCAUGGUUCAAUAGUGAAAGACGGUUUUGCUGUCACUUAUAGAUGGAUCCGCGCCGCAUUAGCUAGUUGGUAAGGUAACGGCUUACCAAGGCAACGAUGCGUAGCCGACCUGAGAGGGUGAUCGGCCACACUGGAACUGAGACACGCUCCAGACUCCUACGGGAGGCAGCAGUAGGGAAUCUUCCGCAAUGGGCGAAAGCCUAACGGAGCAACGCGGCGUGAGUGAUGAUGGUCUUCGGAUCGUAAAACUCUGUUAUUAGGGAAGAACAAAUGUGUAAGUAACUAUGCACGUCUUGACGGUACCUAAUCAGAAAGCCACGGCUAACUACGUG
RNAcentral lists this ribosomal RNA (497 nucleotides) under uncultured bacterium. RNAcentral describes it as "partial 16S ribosomal RNA". It matches the Rfam family "Bacterial small subunit ribosomal RNA", at positions 28 to 507 of the family's 1533-position model. The record is from RNAcentral.